AGAGAGAGAGAGAGCGUGCAAGCGCUUAUACUGUGUAAAGAACAAUUGGAGAAUAUCCUCUGGCCUGAAAACAUGUGCCAUUGACUUCUAGGUUGUUCUAGGAGCCUUUAUUAAAUUUAAUUUCAAUUAAAAUGUUUGGGGAGCCAGCUCCUGGGAAUACUAAUCAAUAUGUCCCUUUAGUUGAACAGUCCCAUGAUGGGUCUUACAUGCACCUUAUUGAUCUGGAAUGAAGGUAAUUCUCUUUUACCUGACAUCUUGGCUCCUGGCAAGCUCCCCAUUGGCCUCCGUGUGUUCAACCUCAUCAGCAUUCUGAGACUCAAAUCAGCAUGGGAGCAGAGAGUGGUUUCCCCCUGGUAACGUGUAGCUCUGGCCACUCAUGAUCAAUUUGUUAUCUGUGCUCAUCGACAUAUUGGCGAUUUCAUAUUUUGGACAAUUCAGAAGAGCGCUUCUGGUUUGAAGCUCACAAGAACUGUCAGGAAGUCGCACCGUCCUGAGGAGUAGAUUAAAACACUGUAGAUAUUGAGAAAGCCAUUUGAGGUCACAGUCUGCACGAGAGGGAACAUGUCACCCAGGAGCCGAGGAAGUACAAGGAGAUGACCAACAGGCACACCAGCCCGAAGACGACAAGGCGUUGAUAUCGUUCAGAUUACUCCUUCCAAGGUGCGUGUUCAGAGGUCCUUAGAAAGGCUAAGCCCGGUAACCUAGGUUUCAUCCCAGGAACCACAUCGUGGAAAGGAAGAAGCGACUCCUGUAGGCUGUCCUCUGACCUCCACGCGUACGCCACAUCAGGUGUGUGCAUCAGCCAUACCACGGAGAACUAAAGCUGAAAAUGUAGAGAACUAGUUUAGAGACAAAGACAACCCGGUGUGUACUUUCAUAAUCCUUCCCAGAGAAGAGCCUGCAGCCUCAGGAGAUCUGGAGGCCCCAGUGGAGACCCACGAGACUUCAGACAUGAAGACAUGAAACUUGAGACCUGUGCCUCUGGGGUUUUUAAAGCCAAUACAAAUAAGUGUGUGAUUUGAAAGAGCAGGGAAAUGAAGCACAAGGAGUUAUUUGAGGCUACUUGGGGAUUGGGUUGCUGAGGUCUCAAACUAUUAUUAAUAUUCCCUAUAUAAAUGAAUGACAUAGGGUUGGCAAGAGGGUUCAGUGGGUAAAAGGUGUCUGUUUCUAAGACUGAUGGCAUUAAGUCCUGGCUGGGGGAUCUACAUGGCAGAAGGAGAGAAUUGACUCCUACAAUCGUCCUCUGACACAGAGGUGCUUUGGUACAUAUCCUUCCCUAUCACAAAUAAACGAACGAAUGAAUGAAUGAAUGAAGAAAGGAAGAAAGAAAGAAAGAAAGAAAGAAAGAAAGAAAGAAAGAAAGAGAGAAAGAAGGCAUCCAAGAAUGGGCCAAGAUAUAAUGUUAGACUAAAGACAGCCUGACUCACGAACACGACUAAAGACGGCAAUCGUGUCACUGAACGGCGGGCGUGCAGUGUAGGCUCUCCCAGUGUAGUCUAGGCAGCUUCACAAGCCAAGCCUGGGUUUGCCCCCAGCCUCUCCACCUUGACUUUCCGGAAUGUUCUUUUGAACAGAGCAGAGUACACGAGUAGGAGGCACUGGGUUACUUGAUGAGGUGAGGUGAUUAGAAAA
Molecule: long non-coding RNA, 1632 nt
Organism: Rattus norvegicus (Norway rat)
Lineage: Eukaryota; Metazoa; Chordata; Mammalia; Rodentia; Muridae
Source: RefSeq, a predicted model, not a curated record